Molecule: ribosomal RNA, 3002 nt
Filed under: Salmonella enterica
Lineage: Bacteria; Pseudomonadati; Pseudomonadota; Gammaproteobacteria; Enterobacterales; Enterobacteriaceae
Description: bacterial LSU rRNA
Rfam family: Bacterial large subunit ribosomal RNA
Source: RNAcentral
UUAAGCGACUAAGCGUACACGGUGGAUGCCCUGGCAGUCAGAGGCGAUGAAGGGCGUGCUAAUCUGCGAUAAGCGCCGGUAAGGUGAUAUGAACCGUUAUAACCGGCGAUACCCGAAUGGGGAAACCCAGUGUGAUUCGUCACACUAUCAUUAACUGAAUCCAUAGGUUAAUGAGGCGAACCGGGGGAACUGAAACAUCUAAGUACCCCGAGGAAAAGAAAUCAACCGAGAUUCCCCCAGUAGCGGCGAGCGAACGGGGAGGAGCCCAGAGCCUGAAUCAGCAUGUGUGUUAGUGGAAGCGUCUGGAAAGGCGCGCGAUACAGGGUGACAGCCCCGUACACAAAAGCGCAUGUGCUGUGAGCUCGAUGAGUAGGGCGGGACACGUGGUAUCCUGUCUGAAUAUGGGGGGACCAUCCUCCAAGGCUAAAUACUCCUGACUGACCGAUAGUGAACCAGUACCGUGAGGGAAAGGCGAAAAGAACCCCGGCGAGGGGAGUGAAAAAGAACCUGAAACCGUGUACGUACAAGCAGUGGGAGCCCCACCACUAAGCCAGUGGUGAACUCCACAUACGCAUCCUUUGCUGAGGAUACGGUUAACGGAGCGAAAGCGACGUUCAACCGCAAAAGAAGCAGAGGGGGCUUAGUGGUGGGGUGACUGCGUACCUUUUGUAUAAUGGGUCAGCGACUUAUAUUCUGUAGCAAGGUUAACCGUAUAGGGGAGCCGGAGGGAAACCGAGUCUUAAUUGGGCGUUAAGUUGCAGGGUAUAGACCCGAAACCCGGUGAUCUAGCCAUGGGCAGGUUGAAGGUUGGGUAACACUAACUGGAGGACCGAACCGACUAAUGUUGAAAAAUUAGCGGAUGACCUGUGGCUGGGGGUGAAAGGCCAAUCAAACCGGGAGAUAGCUGGUUCUCCCCGAAAGCUAUUUAGGUAGCGCCUCGUGAACUCAUCUCCGGGGGUAGAGCACUGUUUCGGCUAGGGGGCCAUCCCGGCUUACCAACCCGAUGCAAACUGCGAAUACCGGAGAAUGUUAUCACGGGAGACACACGGCGGGUGCUAACGUCCGUCGUGAAGAGGGAAACAACCCAGACCGCCAGCUAAGGUCCCAAAGUCAUGGUUAAGUGGGAAACGAUGUGGGAAGGCCCAGACAGCCAGGAUGUUGGCUUAGAAGCAGCCAUCAUUUAAAGAAAGCGUAAUAGCUCACUGGUCGAGUCGGCCUGCGCGGAAGAUGUAACGGGGCUAAACCAUGCACCGAAGCUGCGGCAGCGACACUGUGUGUUGUUGGGUAGGGGAGCGUUCUGUAAGCCUGUGAAGGUGUGUCGUGAGGCAUGCUGGAGGUAUCAGAAGUGCGAAUGCUGACAUAAGUAACGAUAAAGCGGGUGAAAAGCCCGCUCGCCGGAAGACCAAGGGUUCCUGUCCAACGUUAAUCGGGGCAGGGUGAGUCGACCCCUAAGGCGAGGCCGAAAGGCGUAGUCGAUGGGAAACGGGUUAAUAUUCCCGUACUUGGUGUUACUGCGAAGGGGGGACGGAGAAGGCUAUGUUGGCCGGGCGACGGUUGUCCCGGUUUAAGCGUGUAGGCUGGUUUUCCAGGCAAAUCCGGAAAAUCAAGGCUGAGGCGUGAUGACGAGGCACUACGGUGCUGAAGCAACAAAUGCCCUGCUUCCAGGAAAAGCCUCUAAGCAUCAGGUAACAUCAAAUCGUACCCCAAACCGACACAGGUGGUCAGGUAGAGAAUACCAAGGCGCUUGAGAGAACUCGGGUGAAGGAACUAGGCAAAAUGGUGCCGUAACUUCGGGAGAAGGCACGCUGACACGUAGGUGAAGUGAUUUACUCAUGGAGCUGAAGUCAGUCGAAGAUACCAGCUGGCUGCAACUGUUUAUUAAAAACACAGCACUGUGCAAACACGAAAGUGGACGUAUACGGUGUGACGCCUGCCCGGUGCCGGAAGGUUAAUUGAUGGGGUCAGCGCAAGCGAAGCUCCUGAUCGAAGCCCCGGUAAACGGCGGCCGUAACUAUAACGGUCCUAAGGUAGCGAAAUUCCUUGUCGGGUAAGUUCCGACCUGCACGAAUGGCGUAAUGAUGGCCAGGCUGUCUCCACCCGAGACUCAGUGAAAUUGAACUCGCUGUGAAGAUGCAGUGUACCCGCGGCAAGACGGAAAGACCCCGUGAACCUUUACUAUAGCUUGACACUGAACAUUGAGCCUUGAUGUGUAGGAUAGGUGGGAGGCUUUGAAGUGUGGACGCCAGUCUGCGUGGAGCCAACCUUGAAAUACCACCCUUUAAUGUUUGAUGUUCUAACGUGGACCCGUAAUCCGGGUUGCGGACAGUGUCUGGUGGGUAGUUUGACUGGGGCGGUCUCCUCCUAAAGAGUAACGGAGGAGCACGAAGGUUGGCUAAUCCUGGUCGGACAUCAGGAGGUUAGUGCAAUGGCAUAAGCCAGCUUGACUGCGAGCGUGACGGCGCGAGCAGGUGCGAAAGCAGGUCAUAGUGAUCCGGUGGUUCUGAAUGGAAGGGCCAUCGCUCAACGGAUAAAAGGUACUCCGGGGAUAACAGGCUGAUACCGCCCAAGAGUUCAUAUCGACGGCGGUGUUUGGCACCUCGAUGUCGGCUCAUCACAUCCUGGGGCUGAAGUAGGUCCCAAGGGUAUGGCUGUUCGCCAUUUAAAGUGGUACGCGAGCUGGGUUUAGAACGUCGUGAGACAGUUCGGUCCCUAUCUGCCGUGGGCGCUGGAGAACUGAGGGGGGCUGCUCCUAGUACGAGAGGACCGGAGUGGACGCAUCACUGGUGUUCGGGUUGUCAUGCCAAUGGCACUGCCCGGUAGCUAAAUGCGGAAGAGAUAAGUGCUGAAAGCAUCUAAGCACGAAACUUGCCCCGAGAUGAGUUCUCCCUGAGACUUAGAGUCUCCUGAAGGAACGUUGAAGACGACGACGUUGAUAGGCCGGGUGUGUAAGCGCAGCGAUGCGUUGAGCUAACCGGUACUAAUGAACCGUGAGGCUUAACCUU